Molecule: ribosomal RNA, 452 nt
Filed under: uncultured bacterium
Lineage: Bacteria
Description: bacterial SSU rRNA
Rfam family: Bacterial small subunit ribosomal RNA
Source: RNAcentral
UCGCACGGGGUAGCAAUACCCAGUGGCGAACGGGAGAGUAAUGAAUCGCUAACGUACCCCGGACUCUGAGAUAGCUGCCCGAAAGGGCAGGUAAUAUCAGAUGACAUAACCGCACGGCAUCGUGUGGUUCUCAAAGGUCCGCCGGUCUGGGAGCGGGCGAUUUCGUAUCAGCUAGUUGGUGAGGUAACGGCUCACCAAGGCGACGACGCGUAGCCGGACUGAGAGGUUGGCCGGCCUCAUUGGGACUGAGACACUGCCCAGACUCCUACGGGGGGCUGCAGUAACGAAUCUUCCGCAAUGCACGAAAGUGUGACGGAGCGACGCCGCGUGUGGGACGAAGCCCUUCGGGGUGUAAACCACUGUCAGGGGUUACCAAGUUCUGAGGAGCCCCAGAGGAAGGCACGGCUAACUCUGUGCCAGCAGCCGCGGUAAGACAGAGGUGCCAAGCGUUA